CAUUAAAUGACUGAAUAAAAAGUGUUGAUCUUUUAAAUCAAAUUAUAACAGUACAUUUAAAUCUGUUUUUAAUUA
RNAcentral lists this transfer RNA (75 nucleotides) under Acromyrmex echinatior (Panamanian leafcutter ant). The record is from Rfam by way of RNAcentral. Lineage: Eukaryota; Metazoa; Arthropoda; Insecta; Hymenoptera; Formicidae.